Molecule: long non-coding RNA, 1615 nt
Filed under: Lactuca sativa (garden lettuce)
Lineage: Eukaryota; Viridiplantae; Streptophyta; Magnoliopsida; Asterales; Asteraceae
Description: long non-coding RNA (LSAT_LNC009130)
Source: RNAcentral
GACAAUUGUAGGUGCAGUUAGUAUAAAAACUACAUCGACCCAUUUUUUGUACAAUGUAUAUGCGGGUAUGAGAAAAACUUUUCUCCGGUCAGAGUGCCAUCAAUAUUGGUGGCAACUUCAUGUGGCAACAAAGUGUCAACUAUCUCAUCACAUGUAAAAAAAUUUGAUUUGCAUGUUAUCUAAUUUAGAGGAUGCUCAAAGGAGGUAAUAUUCUAAAUUGUAAACUUAAUCUCCAUGUUUUACCAACUUAAAUAACUGAUAUAUAAACACAAGUUGGAUGAUUUUGCUUUGAUCAGACUGUUGUUUGAAAAUUUAAUUUUUAUGCUCUUUCUAAGUUCUUAUAUUUUGUUUCUUUUAAAAAUGCAAUUUCUUAGUUGUAGUAUCUAUCAUCUUUUAAAAUGAUUCCAUAAUUUCUCUUUACCAAACAACCAUUGAUCUCUCCCGUUAAAUCUUCGCCGGCUCAAAAUCCGUUCAAAAAUCUCACCGUUUCGCCAAUUCACUCCUACCUCAUACACAGAUCUAUACUAUUAUCUGAAUUGUUGGUCGACGAAAUCGUUUCAAACACACAUAGCCCUAAUUCAAAUCCACACCCGUCGAUUACUUCUCGAUCGUUUAAGCUUAUAUAUUUCGGUGUUUCUCUUGUUCUAUAGCCGAUCUGGAGGUGUCGAAGUGCCUACUAUAUCCCAUGAUCAAUCGUUUCAACCACCUAGGGUUUCUGAUUAAAUAGAAAUUAGAAAAGGGGAUCACAAAAUUGGCUCCAGUAAUUCAUGGUUCUCGUCGCGCGGUACGAACAACAAGAUUUGAUUAUAAAGAAAAGCGAUAUCUUGGAUUAUGAUGAUGGAAGAAGGCUAUUAUGUAUGGGCGGUGGGAAGGGGAGCUAUGGUUCCACCGGCGGCACAUGUGGCCGGUCCCAUCUUCCUCCAAGCCAUCUGUAGCUGCUCCUUCCAAUUCCUUCGUAUUGAUUGACUCUAACUCUUUCUCCAAAGUAUAUAUAAUUUUUUAUUCCGUUUAUAUACCCAUAUCCAUUACUUGUAUGUAUAUUUAUAUAUCAAUUUUGAUUAGUUUACCUGCUUCAGUGCUCUUGUAAGUUAGCUCUAUAUAUGAAUACUAUUUCAAUGAGAGAGAGAGAGAGAGAGAGAGAGAGAGAGAGAGCGUGAGAGAGAAAUGUGGGCCCAAAUUAGUAAUUUAUUUUCUUUUUCCUUUAANUAAAAGAGAGAGAGAGAGAGAGAGAGAGAGAGAGAGAGAGAGAGAGACCCUUUAAUAUUAAUUAAUUAUAAUUAUAAUAUUAUUUUUUAAAUAAGACAAAAACUUCAUAAAUGGUCCCUGUCUAGUGAAAAAUGUCCCUGACUUAACGGCUAGAUGGUAACAGAGUUAGACGGAAAGACCAAAUGUUAAAAGUUUUGAAACCACAUGGACCAUCUAUGAAGUUUUUUGAACUUAAGGACUAAACUUGAUAUUUUUGGAAACCACAGGGAUUAUUUUUAAAGUUUUGUCAAAAAAAAAAAUUACAGCAUGCAAUUAGUUGCGAUGAAGAGCUUGACAUUUGAUAGACGAUUUCAUGUGGUAUUGUAAACUUCUUUUUUAGUUAUAGGUUUGUAGGAUUUUUGUAUGCCAC